CCUACGGGUGGCAGCAGUGAGGAAUAUUGGUCAAUGGACGAGAGUCUGAACCAGCCAAGUAGCGUGAAGGAUGACUGCCCUAUGGGUUGUAAACUUCUUUUAUAUGGGAAUAAAAUGUUCCACGUGUGGGAUUUUGUAUGUACCAUAUGAAUAAGGAUCGGCUAACUCCGUGCCAGCAGCCGCGGUAAUACGGAGGAUCCGAGCGUUAUCCGGAUUUAUUGGGUUUAAAGGGAGCGUAGGUGGAAUGUUAAGUCAGUUGUUAAAGUUUGCGGCUCAACCGUAAAAUUGCAGUUGAAAUUGGCGUUCGUGAGUGGGCGAGAAGUAUGCGGAAUGCGUGGUGUAGCGGUGAAAUGCAUAGAUAUCACGCAGAACUCCGAUUGCGAAGGCAGCAUACCGGCGCCCAACUGACGCUGAUGCACGAAAGCGUGGGUAUCGAACAGGAUUAGAUACCCUUGUAGUC
This 460-nucleotide ribosomal RNA is filed under the name uncultured bacterium. RNAcentral describes it as "partial 16S ribosomal RNA". It matches the Rfam family "Bacterial small subunit ribosomal RNA", at positions 338 to 795 of the family's 1533-position model. The record is from RNAcentral.